AUGAACUAUCACAUGAAUUUUCCUGGCUCUGGUGGUCGCGCUGCCCAGGACGCCGGCGGCGGAGACGAAGGCAAUUUGUACUGGGACGUCGUGGCCGAGCUGCAGGACCUCCGCCUUGACGAGCUGCUGGACCUAGGCUUCGACGAGACGCCGGACCUCGGCCUCCCUCUGGUUUUCAUGCUGGAACAGUUUUGUAGAGACAAAUUGGAAGAGUGCAGCUGCCCUGGCUCAUGGAAUUGGAAGAAUUUAUGCUUUUUUCUACUCAGAAAGGAAGCUAUUUUUUUCUGGAUCGUAGAUAGAAAGGAUGCAACUUUGUCAGGGGUAGUAGAUACAAAGUUCAGUGUCUACAGCAUAUAA
RNAcentral lists this ribosomal RNA (357 nucleotides) under Triticum aestivum (bread wheat). RNAcentral's name for it is "partial small subunit ribosomal RNA". Lineage: Eukaryota; Viridiplantae; Streptophyta; Magnoliopsida; Poales; Poaceae. The record is from RNAcentral.